AUGCCAAGCCUCGUCGCCACACUCCUGCACCUCUUUUCCCUCUUGGUCGUCGCCGCCGCAGAGGCCAUCCGCUGCCUCGUCGGGUGGGCACGUCCGGCGUUGUCCCGCCUGUCCGUGCAGGAAUGCCCGGAGGCGGCGGCGUGCUCGACGGAGCUACCCGUGGCGCGGUGCGGUGAGCAGCGUGGAGCGGGGCGCGAACGCUGCGUGAUCUGCCUGGGCGGCAUGGAGGAGGGCGACGAGGUGAGGGUGCUCAGGUGCCACCAUCUGUUCCACCGCUGCUGCCUCGCCCGGUGGCUGGCUGCGUGGGCGGGGGCGACAUGCCCGCUCUGCCGCGGCAAGCUCCUCACGGGCACAGCUGCUAAGCGCGCCGGGGAAGAGGAGGUGGAGGAGAGGAGCAUCGAGGGGAUGUGCAUGGUCAUGCUCAUGGCCUACGUGCAUAGCCGUACUUCGGUUCCGGCGGUUUAA
This 465-nucleotide ribosomal RNA is filed under the name Triticum aestivum (bread wheat). RNAcentral describes it as "partial small subunit ribosomal RNA". Lineage: Eukaryota; Viridiplantae; Streptophyta; Magnoliopsida; Poales; Poaceae. The record is from RNAcentral.